RNAcentral lists this long non-coding RNA (1486 nucleotides) under Homo sapiens (human). RNAcentral's name for it is "long non-coding RNA NONHSAT192330.1". Lineage: Eukaryota; Metazoa; Chordata; Mammalia; Primates; Hominidae. The record is from RNAcentral.
GUCGGACCGGGAUGAGACCGGGGCCUACCUCAUUGACCGUGACCCCACCUACUUCGGGCCCAUCCUGAACUUCCUCCGGCAUGGCAAGCUGGUGCUGGACAAGGACAUGGCUGAGGAGGGGGUCCUGGAGGAAGCCGAGUUCUACAACAUCGGCCCGCUGAUCCGCAUCAUCAAAGACCGGAUGGAAGAGAAGGACUACACGGUCACCCAGGUCCCACCCAAGCACGUGUACCGCGUGCUGCAGUGCCAGGAGGAGGAGCUCACGCAAAUGGUCUCCACCAUGUCUGAUGGCUGGCGCUUCGAGCAGCUGGUGAACAUCGGCUCCUCCUACAACUACGGCAGCGAGGACCAGGCAGAGUUCCUGUGUGUGGUGUCCAAGGAGCUCCACAGCACCCCAAACGGGCUGAGCUCAGAGUCCAGCCGCAAAACCAAGCACGGAGGAGCAGCUGGAGGAGCAGCAGCAGCAGGAGGAGGAGGUGGAGGAGGUGGAGGUGGAACAGGUGCAGGUGGAGGCAGAUGCACAGGAGAAAGGUUCCCGUCCGCACCCUCUCAGACCUGAGGCUGAGCUUGCAGUGAGGGCUUCUCCUCGGCCCCUCGCCCGCCCCCAGAGCUGCCAUCCCUGCUGUUACAAGCCAGAGGCACCCGGAUGUGAGGCCCCAGAUCACCUCCAGGGACUUGGGGUUCCCAUCUGAAAUCCUUUAUUUUUGUACCAUGGGGUGGGCCCCGGGCCUGAGAAGGAAGAAGCACCCUCUCCCCGGCCUCCUCUGUCUGCACCCGUGGGGCUGUGACUUACUCCUGCCUCCAGGGGCGGGGCGGGGCCCCCCUGGGACCUCUUAAGGCCCAAGGUGGGCCCCAGGACCUCUGGGCAGAGUGGACUGCUCAUGGCAGAUGUGUGGCAAUGUCUGGCUGUGUCUCUCCGGCACCUGCGUCCCCUCUCCCGGGCUCCCCUGCUGCAUGGUGGAUGUGCUCCUUCCUGGCCCGGUCACAUUGCCUCCUUGAGCCUUAGUCCAGGGGGUCACUCCUCCCACCCCACCUACCUCACAGGGUUGUUGUGAGGGUGCACAGAGGAGCAAAGUCCCUGAAGGCCCUCAGGCAGUAUAUAGGGGCCGCCCACCUUCAGCUGCCCUGGGAUGGGAAGGACCCAGCCCGACCCCUGGGCAUAACACUGUGUUUGCAAAUGGAGAUUCAGGUAUUGGGGAUGCAGGUUGUGGGGAGCUGGCCUGGCAGAGUAGGGGUAGUUGGCUUGGCCUUCUCUUUGGUGAUCCCACCCCCAGCCAUUUGCAUUGCUGGCCCAGCGCCUGGCCUGGGGGGCGGGGAGAGGCAGCAGAAGGGGCUGGGCAGGGGCGGUGGAGGACUCAGGAACUGCCCGGGGAGAGUGGGUAUGGCGGCUGAGCCAGGGGCCCUCCUGUGUUUGACUUCCCGGGAUGGGUCCUUGCUUCUCAGCUGUGUCCGACCCCACCAUGUAAUAAAACCCAAAGGAACAGCC